UACGUAGGGGGCAAGCGUUGUCCGGAAUCAUUGGGCGUAAAGAGCGCGUAGGCGGCCCUGUAAGUCCGCUGUGAAAGUCAAGGGCUCAACCCUUGAAUGCCGGUGGAUACUGCAGGGCUAGAGUCCGGAAGGGGCGAGUGGAAUUCCUGGUGUAGCGGUGAAAUGCGCAGAUAUCGGGAGGAACACCAAUUGCGAGGGCAGCUCGCUGGGACGUCACUGACGCUGAGACGCGAAAGCGUGGGGAGCAAACAGG
RNAcentral lists this ribosomal RNA (253 nucleotides) under uncultured bacterium. Its description in RNAcentral is "partial 16S ribosomal RNA". It matches the Rfam family "Bacterial small subunit ribosomal RNA", at positions 524 to 776 of the family's 1533-position model. The record is from RNAcentral.